This 107-nucleotide small RNA is filed under the name Marmota monax (woodchuck). Lineage: Eukaryota; Metazoa; Chordata; Mammalia; Rodentia; Sciuridae. The record is from RNAcentral.
GCUGGGGACAGUGGCACACUCCUGUAAUCCCAGCAUCUUUGGAAGCUGAGGUAGGAGAAUCGCGAGUUCAAAGCCAGUCUCAGCAACUUAGUGAGACCCUGUCUCUA